CCUACGGGAGGCAGCAGUGGGGAAUAUUGCACAAUGGGGGAAACCCUGAUGCAGCGACGCCGCGUGAGUGAAGAAGUAAUUCGUUAUGUAAAGCUCUAUCAGCAGGGAAGAAAAUGACGGUACCUGAGUAAGAAUCCCCGGCUAACUACGUGCCAGCAGCCGCGGUAAUACGUAGGGGAGAAGCGGUAUCCCGAUUUACUGGGUUGAAAAGGAGCUUAGACGGCAGUGCAAGUCUGGAGUGAAAGGCGGGGGCUCAACCCCCGGAGUGCUGUGGAAACUGUACGGCUGGAGUGCAGGAGAGGUAAGUGGAAUUCCUAGUGUAGCGGUGAAAUGCGUAGAUAUUAGGAAGAACCCCAGUGGCGAAGGCAGCUUACUGGCCUGUAACUGACGUUGAGGCUCGAAAGCGUGGGGAGCAAACAGGAUUAGAUACCCCAGUAGUC
This 440-nucleotide ribosomal RNA is filed under the name uncultured bacterium. Its description in RNAcentral is "partial 16S ribosomal RNA". It matches the Rfam family "Bacterial small subunit ribosomal RNA", at positions 338 to 795 of the family's 1533-position model. The record is from RNAcentral.